GUCAACAUGCCCAGGGGACGUGGAUAACCUCGGGAAACUGAGGAUAAACCGCGAUAAGUCACUGCUUCUGGAAUGGGCAAUGACUUAAAUCUAUAUGGCCCCUGGAUUGGACUGCGGCCGAUCAGGCUGUUGGUGAGGUAAUGGCCCACCAAACCUGUAACCGGUACGGGCUCUGAGAGGAGGAGCCCGGAGAUGGGCACUGAGACAAGGGCCCAGGCCCUAUGGGGCGCAGCAGGCGCGAAACCUCUGCAAUAGGCGAAAGCCUGACAGGGUUACUCUGAGUGAUUUCCGUUAAGGAGAUCUUUUGGCACCUCUAAAAAUGGUGCAGAAUAAGGGGUGGGCAAGUCUGGUGUCAGCCGCCGCGGUAAUACCAGCACCCCGAGUGGUCGGGACGUUUAUUGGGCCUAAAGCAUCCGUAGCCGGUUCUGCAAGUCUUCCGUUAAAUCCACCUGCUUAACAGAUGGGCUGCGGAAGAUACUACAGAGCUAGGAGGCGGGAGAGGCAAGCGGUACUCGAUGGGUAGGGGUAAAAUCCGUUGAUCCAUUGAAGACCACCAGUGGCGAAGGCGGCUUGCCAGAACGCGCUCGACGGUGAGGGAUGAAAGCUGGGGGAGCAAACCGGAUUAGAUACCCGGGUAGUCCCAGCUGUAAACGAUGCAGACUCGGUGAUGAAUUGGCUUUAUGCCAAUUCAGUGCCGCAGGGAAGCCGUUAAGUUUGCCGCCUGGGGAGUACGGUCGCAAGACUGAAACUUAAAGGAAUUGGCGGGGGAGCACCACAAGGGGUGAAGCCUGCGGUUCAAUUGGAGUCAACGCCGGAAAUCUUACCGGGGGCGACAGCAGAAUGAAGGUCAAGCUGAAGACUUUACCAGACAAGCUGAGAGGAGGUGCAUGGCCGUCGCCAGCUCGUGCCGUGAGGUGUCCUGUUAAGUCAGGUAACGAGCGAGACCCCUGCCUCUAGUUGCUACCAUUAUUCUCAGGAGUAGUGGAGCUAAUUAGAGGGACUGCCGUCACUGAGACGGAGGAAGGAGGGGGCUACGGCAGGUCAGUAUGCCCCGAAACCCUCGGGCCACACGCGGGCUGCAAUGGUAAGGACAAUGAGUAUCGAUUCCGAAAGGAGGAGGCAAUCUCUAAACCUUACCACAGUUAUGAUUGAGGGCUGAAACUCGCCCUCAUGAAUAUGGAAUCCCUAGUAACCGCGUGUCACUAUCGCGCGGUGAAUACGUCCCUGCUCCUUGCACACACCGCCCGUCGCUUCAUCGAAGUUGGUUCUUGGCGAGGUGAUGCCUAAUUGGUACUAUCGAACCUGGGGUCAGCAACGAGGGAGAAGUCGUAACAAGGUGGCCGUAGGGGAACCUGCGGCCGGAUCACCUCCU
RNAcentral lists this ribosomal RNA (1372 nucleotides) under uncultured crenarchaeote. Its description in RNAcentral is "16S ribosomal RNA". It matches the Rfam family "Archaeal small subunit ribosomal RNA". Lineage: Archaea; Thermoproteati; Thermoproteota. The record is from RNAcentral.